CUUUCUUUGCUGGCGACCGGCGCACGGGUGAGUAACACGUAUCCAACCUGCCGAUGACUCGGGGAUAGCCUUUCGAAAGAAAGAUUAAUACCCUAUGGCAUAGUUCUUCCGCAUGGUAGAACUAUUAAAGGAUUUCGGUCAUCGAUGGGGAUGCGUUCCAUUAGGUUGUUGGCGGGGUAACGGCCCAUCAAGCCUUCGAUGGAUAGGGGUUCUGAGAGGAAGGUCCCCCACAUUGGAACUGAGACACGGUCCAAACUCCUACGGGAGGAGCAUG
RNAcentral lists this ribosomal RNA (274 nucleotides) under uncultured bacterium. Its description in RNAcentral is "partial 16S ribosomal RNA". It matches the Rfam family "Bacterial small subunit ribosomal RNA", at positions 79 to 348 of the family's 1533-position model. The record is from RNAcentral.